Dreissena polymorpha is the source of this 737-nucleotide long non-coding RNA. RefSeq lists it as uncharacterized. The record is from RefSeq and is a predicted model, not a curated record. The transcript has 3 exons. Lineage: Eukaryota; Metazoa; Mollusca; Bivalvia; Myida; Dreissenidae.
AGCAGUAAUUAGCUUUUAUUAAAUACGCGUACAUCCGGAAUGACAUCUGCUAUUGUAAUUACCGAGAUCAUCUGACUAUACUUGAUUACACGUGAUCUGCAAAGUAUGCUUAUUCCGCGCAUAUUUCUAAUUAAGCUUUUAAGUAAAUUAGCUGGACGUGGAUUUGCCAUACUGAAUUUAGAUUAAUGGAGCAAAUACAAUCAUAUUUCUGGUAUAUAAACGUCUGCAUUUUAGUUUCAGUUACCGAAUACUCAGAAUCCUCCGAGCAACGUCUAAGUAACGAUCACACACGAUGAACACCAAACUGCUGAUGUGUUUGUUAGUGGCGACCGCAGUGCUUCUGACGAGUGCUCCGGUAGCAAACGCCCGAAACGUUUACGGGUAUGGCGGAAACUAUGGCUACCCCGGAAACUAUGGCUUCUCUGGAAACUAUGGCUUCCCCGGAUACUAUGGCGGCCUCGGAAACUAUGGCUGGAACGGCGCGGGAGACUAUGACGAUGACGAUUAUUAUGGCGGAUGGUUGGGAGGACUUUUUGGAAAAGGCAAAUAUGGAUGGGGCAAAUAAUAACUGCGAUGAAGUUGUGCUUAAAGAAAAGCGCAUCUUCUAAGGCCAUAAUUGGACAAACAUACAGCAGCCGUUUUCAUGUGAUUGACGGUCCUAUAUUGUUUUGCAAAACAAUACAUACACUUUAUCGCAAAUCGACUUGGUAUUAUAUAUUUCAUUUGAAUACACACGG